UGGGGAAUAUUGCACAAUGGAGGAAACUCUGAUGCAGCGACGCCGCGUGAGUGAAGAAGUAUUUCGGUAUGUAAAGCUCUAUCAGCAGGGAAGAAAGAAAUGACGGUACCUGACUAAGAAGCCCCGGCUAACUACGUGCCAGCAGCCGCGGUAAUACGUAGGGGGCAAGCGUUAUCCGGAUUUACUGGGUGUAAAGGGAGCGUAGACGGCGAUGCAAGUCAGAUGUGAAAACCCAUGGCUCAACCAUGGGAUUGCAUUUGAAACUGUGUUGCUAGAGUGCAGGAGAGGUAAGCGGAAUUCCUGGUGUAGCGGUGAAAUGCGUAGAUAUCAGGAGGAACACCGGUGGCGAAGGCGGCUUACUAGACUGUAACUGACGUUGAGGCUCGAAGGCGUGGGUAGCAAACAGG
RNAcentral lists this ribosomal RNA (407 nucleotides) under uncultured bacterium. RNAcentral describes it as "bacterial SSU rRNA". It matches the Rfam family "Bacterial small subunit ribosomal RNA", at positions 355 to 776 of the family's 1533-position model. The record is from RNAcentral.